This 77-nucleotide small nucleolar RNA is filed under the name Suhomyces tanzawaensis NRRL Y-17324. Lineage: Eukaryota; Fungi; Ascomycota; Pichiomycetes; Serinales; Debaryomycetaceae. The record is from RNAcentral.
GAAUAUGACGACAAAACGCUGUGCACCAGUCAGAGUACUCAAAUCAUGAUUGACCCAGUAUACCCAAAUUUCUGAAC